This 498-nucleotide ribosomal RNA is filed under the name uncultured bacterium. Its description in RNAcentral is "partial 16S ribosomal RNA". It matches the Rfam family "Bacterial small subunit ribosomal RNA", at positions 29 to 523 of the family's 1533-position model. The record is from RNAcentral.
AUUGAACGCUGGCGGCAUGCCUUACACAUGCAAGUCGAACGGUAACGCGGGGCGACCUGGCGACGAGUGGCGAACGGGUGAGUAAUGUAUCGGAACGUGCCCAGUUGUGGGGGAUAACUGCUCGAAAGAGCAGCUAAUACCGCAUACGACCUGAGGGUGAAAGCGGGGGAUCGCAAGACCUCGCGCAAUUGGAGCGGCCGAUAUCAGAUUAGGUAGUUGGUGAGGUAAAGGCUCACCAAGACGACGAUCUGUAGCUGGGCGGAGAGGACGACCAGCCACACUGGGACUGAGACACGACCCAGACUCCUACGGGAGGCAGAAGUGGGGAAUUUUGGACAAUGGACGCAAGUCUGAACCAGCCAUGCCGCGUGCGGGAAGAAGGCCUUCGGGUUGUAAACCGCUUUUGUCAGGGAAGAAACGCUCUGGGUUAAUACCUCGGGGUAAUGACGGUACCUGAAGAAUAAGCACCGGCUAACUACGUGCCAGCCGCCGCGGUAA